UCGAGAAUCAUUCGCAAUGGGCGAAAGCCUGACGGUGCGACGCCGCGUGGAGGAUGAAGGCCCUAGGGUCGUAAACUCCUGUCAUCAGGGAGUAAGGGCUUGCGCAGUCACUGGCGCGGGCAUUGAUAGUACCUGAAGAGGAAGGGACGGCAAACUUCGUGCCAGCAGCCGCGGUAAUACGAAGGUCCCAAGCGUUGUUCGGAUUUACUGGGCGUAAAGAGUCUGUAGGCGGCGGGGUAAGUCAGAUGUGAAAUCCCGGGGCUCAACCCCGGAACUGCAUCCGAUACUGCCUUGCUUGAGUAUUGGAGGGGAGCCUGGAAUUCUCGGUGUAGCAGUGAAAUGCGUAGAUAUCGAGAGGAACACUAGUGGCGAAGGCGAGGCUCUGGACAAUUACUGACGC
Molecule: ribosomal RNA, 400 nt
Filed under: uncultured bacterium
Lineage: Bacteria
Description: bacterial SSU rRNA
Rfam family: Bacterial small subunit ribosomal RNA
Source: RNAcentral